GGUGCCAUCGUCUAGUGGUAGGACAGCACGUUGUGGUCAACGAUCUGAUGAAGGUUGUCAUGCAAUUUCCGUGCAAACGGCGGUUCGAUCCCGUCUGGCGCCA
Molecule: transfer RNA, 103 nt
Filed under: Hypomontagnella monticulosa
Lineage: Eukaryota; Fungi; Ascomycota; Sordariomycetes; Xylariales; Hypoxylaceae
Description: tRNA-His
Rfam family: tRNA
About the family: Transfer RNA (tRNA) molecules are approximately 80 nucleotides in length.
Source: RNAcentral